Molecule: transfer-messenger RNA, 342 nt
Filed under: human gut metagenome
Rfam family: transfer-messenger RNA
About the family: Bacterial tmRNA, also known as 10Sa RNA or SsrA, is named for its dual tRNA and mRNA-like properties. Its role is to liberate the mRNA from a stalled ribosome. To accomplish this part of the tmRNA is used as a reading frame that ends in a translation stop signal.
Source: RNAcentral
GGGGCUGUUUAAUGGUUUUGACAGAAAUGUUAUUGAUAUGAAUUGCAAGUCGUAAGGCAUGCGUCAAAUCCAAAACAAAAAUAUCUGGAAACAGAAAUCAAUUAGCUUUCGCUUAAUUUAAGAAGGCAGUCUACUAUUUGUUUUUCUUGUGACGAAUAACUAGGCUUUAUAAAGCAAGACAUAUUAUUUAAUUGAUUGUGUUAGAUAAUGAAUUUUAAGCAAUCUAGCUAAAAAUUUAUUUGUUUAUUUUAUGUUUUUAGUGAAGUUAAAAAUAAACUAAACUUGUAGAAGUUUAUAUACAAGCAUUUUUGGACAGGAGUUCAAAUCUCCUCAGCUCCACCA